GGCUGAGACCACAGGCCGUGAAACUCCUGACUACCUUGAUAGACAUCGACUCAGCUGGUUUUCAACAGCGGUGGUCUUGUUUUUCGUGUUUUUCUUUCGGAACUCUGUGCAUGUGGCUCCUCUCGUUCUACGGCUUGGCUCUCGAUUUGCACGGGACAUGGUCGAGCACGGGAUGAGCGUGGACUGACGAGGUAAGAGCCUUGCUUUUUCAAGCUCGUAUGUAAAUCCGUGUUGGGUGGUCAGAAAAUCUGACAUGGCUAUGGGAUUUACUUUGGGAUUUGAUCUGAAAUGAUUUUAGCUUUUAUUUAGCGUUACAUUCAUGGAGGCACCAAAGAUGGUGCAAACAGAAAAACAUACCUCAGAAGUAAAGGAUUCUGAAGUGGAAUGCUACUCCAGACCAUACUCUCACAAUCCACAAAAAACAGCUUAUACUUAUCCGGAAUCAUUAAGGUGCCUUCGUAAAAACAGAUUGGAAGAAGAGGAAUGUGGCCCUCGUUGUAAGGAAAGCUUGUCUCCUCAACAAAUCUCUUUGAUGCACAGUCCAACCUUAUCAGCAUCAUCUUCAGAACCCCAAAAUCGUUUACCAAAGCCACCUUGAAAAACUGUGUUGCUGGUGUUACCACCCAAUUGUACACAUUCCAGCAAGCUUCAACAGGGGAAUGGCCCAUGAAAGAUGACCACUCAACAGUCCAUCUCAUUUCUUCCAUGUUGAAGCUCAAAGCCCCCCACAUACGUUCACGUUCGCAUGGAAAAUAAGCGUUGCUGUUGGCCAUCCCAACUCCAUUUUCGAGACGAUUCCAGCCAGGAAGGUAAUCCACCUUGUCCCACACUCCUGAUCUCGAGCUAUAUACCAGCAAUUGCUUUUUUUUGU
Molecule: long non-coding RNA, 871 nt
Filed under: Selaginella moellendorffii
Lineage: Eukaryota; Viridiplantae; Streptophyta; Lycopodiopsida; Selaginellales; Selaginellaceae
Description: long non-coding RNA (SMOE_LNC000187)
Source: RNAcentral